Arachis duranensis is the source of this 2289-nucleotide long non-coding RNA. RefSeq lists it as uncharacterized. The transcript is spliced from 4 exons. The record is from RefSeq and is a predicted model, not a curated record. Lineage: Eukaryota; Viridiplantae; Streptophyta; Magnoliopsida; Fabales; Fabaceae.
CACACAUCUCCAUCAUUCCAUCUUUUUCAUUGCUCGAAUUUCUUUCAAGUUUUCAUCUCAAUGUUAAUCGCGAUCUGAAUUCUUUUCUCGGACAAGCUAGUGCUGAUUUUGAUUGAAAUCUGAAUCGCGUUCUAAUCAUCAGGGUUUGAAGCCUUAUUCAAAUUGAAUAUAUGUUUGAUGAAGUGAAAAAAGCCUCUGCAUCUUGCAUUCCUUACAUCAAAGCAUUCUUGUUGAUACUGCUAUAACUCAGCAUAGUAUGGGUGAUGAAGCUACUAUAAAGGAAAUAAUUUCUGAGGUGAAUACAGAUAAUGAUGGAAGAAUAAACUAUGAGAAAUUCUGUGCAAUGAUGAGAAGUGGAACCCCACACCUAGGACAAUUACACUAAAUCUCUUGAAUUCGGUCAAUUUCACACCAUUGAUCUAUAUUUGUUGAAGUAUUGUUUGGUACGAAUUUAAAUUCGAGCUGUCACAUGUUAGUGUACUGAAGCCGAAAUUUUCAUGUUAAAGUAUCAGCUAUGAUGUCCUAUGAGGAUUUAUCAUUCUGUAUGUUGACUGAGGAAAGAGCAGCAAUGAGGUAAGGCAAGUUUGGUUUGUUGAAUCUGUAAUGAAGUACAAACUUAAAUAUAGUUGUUCAAUUUGAAAUCCUUUCUUGCAUAUUCUUUCUGAUCAUUACUUUUUAUUCUUGUGUGAUUACUUAUUGAAAUCCUUUCCUGUAUAUUCAAUUUGAAAGUUUAGUGAAGUUACUUAUUGAAUGAAUUCUAAAGAAUUUAAACUUUAUUUAUCAUUUUAAUUUUUAUAGUAUUAUUCUUCCUGAAGUAACACCAAGACUUCUCUUCAGAUAUUUUAUUUCUGCGUUAAAGUACUGCUACUUAAUGCUUUUAUUUCUUGUUUGACACAUAGGUCUUGAAAUUCUUGAUGGAAAGAAAGUGUCAAUGCCCUUUAUAGUCAGGUUACAAUUGGAAUACUAAUUCUGCAAGUUCGUACUAUUAUGUUUAUAUUUCAGAUGUAUAUAUUUGACUGGAACAGUGUUUUCACCAAUUUUUAAAAAUAGAGUGCAAACUAAUGCUAUGAGCUGAUAUUUCUUAUUGAGGAUUUCUCUCACACAAUUUCUAAUGCAAUAUUCAAAAUCAUUUAUUCCUGUCAGGAUUGUGCUAUUAGUUUGCUCUUUGCAUUGCUUCCAGUAUUGAGUGGUACAUCAGGUGUUCUUGAGGGAAUAACAUACAUAACUAAAUCGUGAGUAAAUUAUAGAAUUGAUUGUUAGUAUUUUAUAAAAAGUUAAUGACUAAAUUAAUUAUAGUUUUUUGGUAGCUGCCUCUAUUAUCUCUGCUAUAUUUGGCUAUUCUGAAUAUCUAUUUCUUCUUCUACUAUGUUCUAAUUAACCUGAGAUUGAAUUGUUUUAUUGAACAAAAUGAUUAAAAACUUAAUUAAAAUAAGCUUGAUUAUCAUACAUUGCACAAGUUAAAGUAGAACUGAUUUGAUGGUCCUGUACUUGUUUAUCUUUUAUCAGAAUCACUAAAUCUUGCUAUCUAGAAAAAGCACUUUAUGUGAAUGGAUUAGUGAUUUUUUUUUCUUGACUUCUUGCAAUAACCAAUUAAUUAGAAGCCAAAAAGGAUAUAAAGUGGUGAAAAAGCAUUUUAUAUUUUGGUUGAAGUGUUAAUUAAAUAUAUUCUAUUAGACCAUCACAACCUAUCGUAUAUAUAACGUAAUGUUAGAAAAAGAGAAAAUUAUUCCAAAGACAAACAGAAUAUAAAAAAAUCAAGUAGAAUAUAGAUAGCAUAUAUAGGAGAUAUAUGAGCAUUUUUCUUGUAUCGUAAUCUUCUUUUAUUAUGUUCUACUGUGUAUUAUGUUCUAGAAUUUAGUGCUUUGUUAAGUUCGAAGGUUGCAAUGGACGAUGGUUUAGUUACGUCUCACUUGCAAAUUUCACUCUAUCAGGUAUCAAUCUAUUAUCUAUUCAUCUAGACCUUUUCGUCUCAGUUUUUAACCUGGAUUAAUUUAAUUUUUUUAACUGUUGCUGUUCAUCAGUGAUGUUAAGGUUUUUGAGCUGGUUAAUUAUCGUCAGUAUUGCAAAGAUCAGCUAGUUCCAUGGAGGUGGAUGAACUUGUUUGCCCCAAGAUGAUGCUUCAAGUUUUGCAGAGACACGUCAAAUGCUAGGGAACAGUUUCAAAAUGCUUCCUCCUAAAUGGAUCGACCAAUUUGAUUCUGGCAUUCAUCAGGUCACUUCUGCGGGAAGCUCAUUUUGAGAUAGAAGGGGACAUAGUCACCCUGCAGGAAGCUCAUUUUGAGUUUAUAG